RNAcentral lists this ribosomal RNA (253 nucleotides) under uncultured bacterium. Its description in RNAcentral is "partial 16S ribosomal RNA". It matches the Rfam family "Bacterial small subunit ribosomal RNA", at positions 524 to 776 of the family's 1533-position model. The record is from RNAcentral.
UACGGAGGGGGCUAGCGUUGUUCGGAAUUACUGGGCGUAAAGCGAGUGUAGGCGGUCCGCUAAGUCGGGUGUGAAAGCCCUGGGCUCAACCCAGGAAGUGCACUCGAAACUGGCGGGCUAGAGUACUGGAGAGGUUGGUGGAAUUCUCGGUGUAGAGGUGAAAUUCGUAGAUAUCGAGAGGAACACCGGUGGCGAAGGCGGCCAACUGGACAGAUACUGACGCUGAGACUCGAAAGCGUGGGGAGCAAACAGG